UACAGAAUCCCCGAGCGUUACCCGGAUUUAUUGGGCGUAAAGAGUUCGUAGGUGGCGUAGUAAGUUGAAAGUUAAAACUCAUCGGCUUAACCUUUGAGGUGCUUUUAAUACUGCUACACUAGAGGGCGUUAGGGGUGAACGGAACCGAUGGAGUAGGGGUGAAAUCCGUUGAUAUCAUCGGGAACACCAAAAGCGAAGGCAGUUCACUAAGACGACCCUGACACUGAGGAACGAAAGCGUGGGGAGCAAAAAGG
Molecule: ribosomal RNA, 254 nt
Filed under: uncultured bacterium
Lineage: Bacteria
Description: partial 16S ribosomal RNA
Rfam family: Bacterial small subunit ribosomal RNA
Source: RNAcentral